This 484-nucleotide ribosomal RNA is filed under the name uncultured bacterium. RNAcentral's name for it is "partial 16S ribosomal RNA". It matches the Rfam family "Bacterial small subunit ribosomal RNA", at positions 30 to 507 of the family's 1533-position model. The record is from RNAcentral.
AUUGAACGCUGGCGGCAGGCCUAACACAUGCAAGUCGAGCGGAUGAAGGGAGCUUGCUCCUGGAUUCAGCGGCGGACGGGUGAGUAAUGCCUAGGAAUCUGCCUGGUAGUGGGGGAUAACGUCCGGAAACGGGCGCUAAUACCGCAUACGUCCUGAGGGAGAAAGUGGGGGUUCUUCGGACCUCACGCUACAGGAUGAGCCUAGGUCGGAUUAGCUAGUUGGUGGGGUAAAGGCCUACCAAGGCGACGAUCCGUAACUGGUCUGAGAGGAUGAUCAGUCACACUGGAACUGAGACACGGUCCAGACUCCUACGGGAGGCAGCAGUGGGGAAUAUUGGACAAAGGGCGAAAGCCUGAUCCAGCCAUGCCGCGUGUGUGAAGAAGGUCUUCGGAUUGUAAAGCACUUUAAGUUGGGAGGAAGGGCAGUAAGUUAAUACCUUGCUGUUUUGACGUUACCAACAGAAUAAGCACCGGCUAACUUCGUG